UUGAACGCUGGCGGCAUGCUUUACACAUGCAAGUCGAACGGCAGCGGGGGCUUCGGCCUGCCGGCGAGUGGCGAACGGGUGAGUAAUGCAUCGGAACGUACCCAGUCGUGGGGGAUAACUACGCGAAAGCGUGGCUAAUACCGCAUACGCCCUGAGGGGGAAAGCGGGGGACCUUCGGGCCUCGCGCGAUUGGAGCGGCUGGUGUCGGAUUAGCUGGUUGGUGGGGUAAAGGCCUACCAAGGCGACGAUCCGUAGCUGGUCUGAGAGGAUGAUCAGCCACACUGGGACUGAGACACGGCCCAGACUCCUACGGGAGGCAGCAGUGGGGAAUUUUGGACAAUGGGCGCAAGCCUGAUCCAGCCAUGCCGCGUGAGUGAAGAAGGCCUUCGGGUUGUAAAGCUCUUUCAGCCGGAAAGAAAUUGCUUCUAUUAAUACUAGGAGUAGAUGACGGUACCGGAAGAAGAAGCACCGGCUAACUACGU
Molecule: ribosomal RNA, 482 nt
Filed under: uncultured bacterium
Lineage: Bacteria
Description: bacterial SSU rRNA
Rfam family: Bacterial small subunit ribosomal RNA
Source: RNAcentral